GCAUUUUCUGAGAGCAAAGCCCACAGCCAACCAAGCGUUGGGCCACAGCUCGAGCCCACCCGCCCCACUCCUCAGCGCCUUCGCCGUCAACCCAAAACCUCGCUCUCCUCGUCGAGUCGAACCGCGCAUGAAACCCUAGGGUCCCCGCCUCCCUCCGCAAUCCGCCAUUGCCCACCCCGAUGCAGGCGUCCUUGCGCCUCUCCUCCCACGCCGCCACCAAGAGGGUGGUCGCGGGCGUCUCUAGCAAGAUCACGCGUUCGUGCUACCGGACCUCCCGGGGAAAGGCACAUGCGGCGCCGCUGUCUGCUCAGGAGCCGCCACCGAAGGGGCAGAAGAGAGUUACAAAACAGGAGAGGAGGAUUAGGAUAGAGGAAUUUGUUGAGAAGUAUAAGGCAUCAAAUGAAGGUAAGUUCCCCACCAUAACAAAUGUUCGCCAGCACGUUGGAGGUAGCCACUACACGGUGCGAGAGAUAGUUCAGGAAUUGGAGUAUAAUAAUGCAAAAUCGCCACUGGUUAAUAUUAAGGCAGCUCAAGUUCAAGGCUCAGCUGAAUUUGCUGAGCAUGCAAGGCCUAAGGAUGACAAUGGAAAGAAUCCAUCCAACUGUGAAGCCUUCAAAAGCACUGUAGAUGGUGAACUAAUCUCACAGGAAGAUGCUACUACCAGCACUGAAAUCAUUGAAAAGGCUGAAACUUGGAGAUCUGUGGGCUCUUCUCAUUCCAAUGCUGAAACAGAACCUGCCAAGCAAGAUUUGAACACUUCAGAAACCAUUAAGAAUGCAAAUGGCCCAACUUUAUUCAAUCAAACAGAAAGUGACAGCAUGCAGGUCCUAACGAACGAACCUUCCUUAUCUUUGGGAGUGGAGGCUAAAUCAGACUCUGGGAACCAGCAAGGGGAAACAGAUGCUAACAAAUUAGAUUUGGACGAUACAGAAAAUUUCAUGAAUGCACGGGAAUCAACUGUAUCAGAUCAAAGUGGAAGUGACAAUGUGAUCAAGUCAAACAUGCGUGACCGGUUUGUCAGGGAGCACCACAGCCUGAAACUGCCUGGAACUUCCAACGCUGGUGGCCAGGAACUUGGUUUAGGAUAGCUUUAAGAACUUUGGUUCAGAAUGCAUAGCUAAUUUUAUAUGUUGAGCUGCUCUAGUGUCUAUGCAAGCUAACAUCCUUAGAUCCAUCAGCGAAAUUGCCGAGCAGGGCUACUUCAUAGUUCAGACAGGACACGAGAACACGGCCCUAAGCAUGAGCUUGAAGAAUCAACGAACACAGGUCUUUUAGGGAGUUUGAAAUCUUUUGCUUAUGGGAUCAGGAACUUCUGGAAAAAACUGUAAAUCUGUCUUUGUUUGGGUGCAAUCUAACAGAGUCCCCUUUGUGGCGUCAUCAAUUUCUGAGUCUGGAGCAAAUUGUAAAGUUUUCUGGAGGCUACAGAUCUACUGACCUGUUCCCCUUGUUUGGCGUUUGUGAUACUGGAGUAAUUUGUAAAUUUUUCUUUUUAUGCCGAACAGAAUUAGUGGUCUAAUUCCCGAUGUGAUGUUUUGACAAAGCUACAUAUGAGCAUAUUUCACAAGUUCACCUGGUAUCCAAGUGCUGGUCAUAGCUGCAUCGCUGUGAUGCUUAUUGAA
RNA transcript from Phragmites australis (common reed), 1619 nucleotides. RefSeq lists it as uncharacterized. Lineage: Eukaryota; Viridiplantae; Streptophyta; Magnoliopsida; Poales; Poaceae. The record is from RefSeq and is a predicted model, not a curated record. The transcript is spliced from 7 exons.